RNAcentral lists this ribosomal RNA (407 nucleotides) under uncultured bacterium. Its description in RNAcentral is "partial 16S ribosomal RNA". It matches the Rfam family "Bacterial small subunit ribosomal RNA", at positions 28 to 526 of the family's 1533-position model. The record is from RNAcentral.
GACGAACGCUGGCGGCGUGCCUAAUACAUGCAAGUUGGACGCAGUUUCGAACGGGUGAGUAACGCGUAGGUAACUACCUAUUAGAGGGGUAUAACUAUUGGAUACGAUAGCUAAUAUCGCAUACUAGUUGAUGGACCUUCGUUGUAUUGGCUAGUCGGUAGGGUAAACGCCUACCUUGCCAACGAUACAUAGCCGACCUGGGAGGGUGAUCGGCCACACUGGGGCUGAGACGCGGCCCAGACUCCUACGGGGGGCAGCAGUAGGGAAUCUUCGGCAAUGGGGGGAACACUGACCGAGCAACGCCGCGUGAGGGAAGAAGGUUUUCGGAUCGUAGAGCUCUGUUGUUAAGGAAGCGGUACUUAAAAAGAAAGGGACGGCUAACUACGUGCCAGCAGCCGCGGUAAUAC